RNAcentral lists this ribosomal RNA (497 nucleotides) under uncultured bacterium. RNAcentral's name for it is "partial 16S ribosomal RNA". It matches the Rfam family "Bacterial small subunit ribosomal RNA", at positions 28 to 507 of the family's 1533-position model. The record is from RNAcentral.
GACGAACGCUGGCGGCGUGCCUAAUACAUGCAAGUUGAGCGCUGAAGGUUGGUACUUGUCCCAACUGGAUGAGCAGCGAACGGGUGAGUAACGCGUGGGGAAUCUGCCUUUGAGCGGGGGACAACAUUUGGAAACGAAUGCUAAUACCGCAUAAAAACUUUAAACACAAGUUUUAAGUUUGAAAGAUGCAAUUGCAUCACUCAAAGAUGAUCCCGCGUUGUAUUAGCUAGUUGGUGAGGUAAAGGCUCACCAAGGCGAUGAUACAUAGCCGACCUGAGAGGGUGAUCGGCCACAUUGGGACUGAGACACGGCCCAAACGCCUACGGGAGGCAGCAGGAGGGAAUCUUCGGCAAUGGACGAAAGUCUGACCGAGCAACGCCGCGUGAGUGAAGAAGGUUUUCGGAUCGUAAAACUCUGUUGGUAGAGAAGAACGUUGGUGAGAGUGGAAAGCUCAUCAAGUGACGGUAACUACCCAGAAAGGGACGGCUAACUACGUG